UAUAUGAGUAUGUAUUUCUUUUCUACUGAAUUACUGAAAUAACCUAAAAUAGCAAUUAGUAAUUGCAUGAUAGAUCAAUUAAUGAUGGAUGAGAGAUGGAUUUAGAUUCAAGUUCUGCAAAAUAGAUUUAUUUAUGAAGAAAGGUUUUUGAACUAUAUCAAGAAAACCACCAGUUCCAAGGUUUUAGAUUCAAGUUCUGCAAAAAGUUCUUAUUUUCACUUUCUUCAUGGAACAUGGAGAUUUUGCUUAAAGGUUUUGACAUAGAGGGUGGACUCAUUUGCUAUACAAGAAACAUAUUUUCAUAUACUCUUAUCUAAAGCCUUAUGCAGGACGCAAAGUAGUUCCAAAGUGUUGGAAUGUUUAUUCUGUAACCUGAAAGUGUAAUUGGACUUAAAGUUCCAAUGGUGAUUGAGUUCCAAUAAUGAUGGAGAAGGCAGAUUCUGCACAGAACUUAUAUACAAUAAUGAGGCUGUGGGAAUUUUCUGAUUAAUAUGUCAUUGAGCCCACAGAUGGAUCUUCUGUUUUGUGUAUGGAAAUCAGUUGGGUGGAUGAAUCUAUGAAUUUAAUAGAUGAAAUGCCACAUUGCAGCACUCUUUGUGUUCCAAAAAUUCAAACAAUCUUUGGUGUUGUUGGGAUGCU
This is a long non-coding RNA of Ipomoea nil (Japanese morning glory), 639 nucleotides long. RefSeq lists it as uncharacterized. The record is from RefSeq and is a predicted model, not a curated record. Lineage: Eukaryota; Viridiplantae; Streptophyta; Magnoliopsida; Solanales; Convolvulaceae. The transcript is spliced from 3 exons.